UACGUAGGUGGCAAGCGUUGUCCGGAUUUACUGGGCGUAAAGAGCGCGCAGGCGGUCGUUUAAGUCGAAUGUGAAAGCCCCCGGCUCAACUGGGGAGGGUCAUUCGAUACUGAUCGACUUGAAGGCAGGAGAGGGAAGUGGAAUUCCGGGUGUAGUGGUGAAAUGCGUAGAUAUCGGGAAGGAAUACCUGUGGCGAAGGCGGCCUACUGGGCCGGACCUGGACGCUGAGACGCGAAGGCGUGGGGAGCGAACGGG
RNAcentral lists this ribosomal RNA (255 nucleotides) under uncultured bacterium. RNAcentral's name for it is "partial 16S ribosomal RNA". It matches the Rfam family "Bacterial small subunit ribosomal RNA", at positions 524 to 776 of the family's 1533-position model. The record is from RNAcentral.